This 100-nucleotide non-coding RNA is filed under the name Klebsiella electrica. Lineage: Bacteria; Pseudomonadati; Pseudomonadota; Gammaproteobacteria; Enterobacterales; Enterobacteriaceae. The record is from RNAcentral.
CGAAUUUGGUUACUGCGCUCCUCUAAGCCAGUUACCUCGGUUCAAAGAGUUGCUGCUCUGAGAACCUUCGAGAAAACCGCCCUGCGGGCGGUUUUUUCGU